This 46-nucleotide non-coding RNA is filed under the name Mytilus galloprovincialis (Mediterranean mussel). It matches the Rfam family "Histone 3' UTR stem-loop". From Rfam's summary of the family: The mRNAs of metazoan histone genes lack a poly-A tail. 3' end processing occurs at a site between a highly conserved stem-loop (modelled by this family) and a purine rich region around 20 nts downstream (the histone downstream element, or HDE). The stem-loop is bound by a 31 kDa stem-loop binding protein (SLBP - also termed the histone hairpin binding protein, or HBP). The record is from RNAcentral. Lineage: Eukaryota; Metazoa; Mollusca; Bivalvia; Mytilida; Mytilidae.
AAGAAGGCUCUUUUCAGAGCCAAACACAUUUUCCAAAAAGAAUCUG